UAGGGAAUCUUCCACAAUGGGCGAAAGCCUGAUGGAGCAACGCCGCGUGUGUGAUGAAGGCUUUCAGGUCGUAAAGCACUGUUGUAUGGGAAGAACAGCUAGAAUAGGAAAUGAUUUUAGUUUGACGGUACCAUACCAGAAAGGGACGGCUAAAUACGUGCCAG
Molecule: ribosomal RNA, 164 nt
Filed under: uncultured bacterium
Lineage: Bacteria
Description: partial 16S rRNA
Rfam family: Bacterial small subunit ribosomal RNA
Source: RNAcentral